This 89-nucleotide transfer RNA is filed under the name bacterium. Its description in RNAcentral is "tRNA-Ser". It matches the Rfam family "tRNA". From Rfam's summary of the family: Transfer RNA (tRNA) molecules are approximately 80 nucleotides in length. The record is from RNAcentral. RNAcentral also lists the same sequence under 2 other names.
GGAGAGAUGGCCGAGCGGUUGAAGGCGGUAGCCUCGAAAGCUAUUGUUCGCAUCGCGGACCGGGGGUUCGAAUCCCUCUCUCUCCGCCA